Long non-coding RNA from Anopheles moucheti, 1517 nucleotides. RefSeq lists it as uncharacterized. The transcript is spliced from 4 exons. NCBI's taxonomy places the organism in Eukaryota, Metazoa, Arthropoda, Insecta, Diptera, Culicidae. The record is from RefSeq and is a predicted model, not a curated record.
UGUUUGUGAACCACAACGGGAGCUGUUUAAUUGUUUUGAACGCUCGUCUGUGUUUGUGUCCCUCGUGUGAAGUGUGAACAGUUUGUGCAUGUGUCUGUGCGUGCAGUACGUGUGCCAUUCCCGGUGUGUAAUGUGUGCUAGCGAUACGAUGCAGUUCUUUCCAGCAAAAAGUGUCGUGCAACACUGCAGCAACAAUGUGAAAAAUGUAAAAUUCCAAAACACCGUGGUGAAAUGCGAGCAGUUUUAAAAAAGCAAAGAAAGUGAAGAAAAAAACCCGUGAAAAGCACCAAAAUAAAAUACAAAGCGAAAAGUGGAAGAAAGUGAAACCAAUGCUGUUGUUUCCUACCCCCCAAAAAGAAAAAAAAAGUUCCAAUCCAAACCUACCUGUGGCAACCAAAGUUUUAAAGUGAAAUAAUGUGCCGCAGAGCACCAACGCGGGCCAGAUUUGUGGAGCAGCAAGUGUGAAAGAAAAUGGUUCCAUAGUGUAAGAGAUACAAACAAGUGGUAGAGGUGGAAGUGUACUUAGCGUAAGAGUGAGGAAAAAUAUUCGAAACGUGUGAUGCGGUGCUAAAACAUGUCGCAACGUAACCCACGAAAGCAGUGCAACAUAGAGCAAGCAAAGUAGAUAACCAUCGUUCGUGUUCGGGCUUGACGUCAGCAGCGGCAGCAAAACUCCAUACACUCGAUAAGCAAUUCCAAGACUCUCGUUAGCAGAAUAAUAUUUUAUCUCGUCGUCGGUAACGCUCCUCGCCAGAACAACUGCAGAUAUUCUUCCGUGAAUCUCACCGAAUCUUCUUCCAUUCGACGGUUGUCAUGUCCUGCGCAAGAAUGAUCCCGAUGAGCUGUGUCGCGCAUGUAAACGCCUAUCGAAGCAGCACAUUGGUGAGCUUGCGGCUCGACCGCGUCCUGAAUCCGGACUGCAUAUGAACGUCUCUUGCUACGCUGGAGCCGAUCGAUAAGGAAGCAGCAGCAAGGCCCGUAGCCUUAAACGAAGUGCAAUAGCAGUAGUAGAAAGCGUGCACCAACCUUCUGCUAGAAGUAACAGCCACACUAUUUAACUCACAAUCAAUCGGAACUGCGAUGAAGGCAGUUGUAGAGUAGAGCAAAAUGGCCGUAGAAUUAAGUGACACGCUGAAUCUCUUUUGAAUUCGGGAAUGUAUUAAGACACUAGUCGACACGAGUUCGUUUCCUCGCGGUGUGUCAUCUGAAGGUGGAAUCUCCGUCAUCGAAUAGAGAGAUCGCAUAGGCGAGUAAAGCUGCAGUGUGUGGCAGCAGCAAACAUUGAAUCUCAACCCGCUUUGUUGAGACUCAUCGGAAAUCGUUUAAGAGUCCUUCCCUUUCCCACCCCCCACCUCCGUGUCCUUCCGGUUGGUCAUGUACCGUGUAAACAUCGUCAGCACAAAUCCGAGCGUGUCAGCGAGCAGUAGUAGCAGCAGCAGCGGUAGUAGUGGAACUGGAAGUGGCAGCGUCAGCAGUGCAAGCAACGUGAUCCUUCAGCAAGCGCCGCAAAUCCUCGG